GUCCUAGACCCCACAUGAAAUCAACUUCAUGCGAGUUACGUGUGCAGUUUGGAAGAAGAGGCACAGAGGCACCAGCACAGCAUAAGAGGGAGCAGGGUGCAAAAGCGGAGCGGCUGUCCCCUAACGCUCGUCUGCAUGUAUUAGCUCGAGAAUCACCAAUCAACAUGGUAGGCGCAGAAUCUGGCAUUGAACGUUGAUAUGGAUGACAUCCGCAUGCAAAGUCGC
Non-coding RNA from Pelobates cultripes (western spadefoot toad), 225 nucleotides. The record is from the annotation of a GenBank genome assembly. NCBI's taxonomy places the organism in Eukaryota, Metazoa, Chordata, Amphibia, Anura, Pelobatidae.